GACGAACGCUGGCGGCGUGCUUAACACAUGCAAGUCGAACGGAAAGGCCCUGCUUUUGUGGGUUGCUCGAGUGGCGAACGGGUGAGUAACACGCGAGUAACCUGCCCUUGUCUUUGGGAUAACUUCAGGAAACUGGGGCUAAUACCGGAUAGGACCUCCUGCUGCACGGUGGGGGUUGGAAAGUUUCGGCGGUUGGGGCUGGACUCGCUGCUUAUGAGCUUGUUGGUGGGGUAGGGGCUUACCAAGGUUUUGACGGGUAGCCGACAUGAGAGGGUGACCGGCCACAUUGGGACUGCGAUACGGCCCAGACUCCUACGGGAGGCAGCAGUGGGGAAUAUUGCACAAUGGGCGGAAGCCUGAUGCAGCAACGCCGCGUGCGGGAUGACGGCCUUCGGGUUGUAAACCGAUUUCGCCUGUGACGAAGCGUGAGUGACGGUAAUGGGUAAAGAAGCACCGGCUAACUACGUG
RNAcentral lists this ribosomal RNA (468 nucleotides) under uncultured bacterium. Its description in RNAcentral is "partial 16S ribosomal RNA". It matches the Rfam family "Bacterial small subunit ribosomal RNA", at positions 28 to 507 of the family's 1533-position model. The record is from RNAcentral.